UGAUAUAUAUCAAAUUAAAGCUCUUUUCGUGCUCUUUAGUUUGAUAUGCAUAUCGAAUAUUUUUUUUAUUAAUCAAACUAACAAAUUUUAGUAAGAAAUAAAAAAGAAAAAAGAAAUAAAAAAAGGGAAAUAGAUAAUAACCGUAAGAUAUAACUUUAUCGUGAAAAUAGGAAUCAUUAGCGUGGAAAGGAAAAAAAACUAUGUAAAUUUGCGUGAACUGCUAUUUGGAAAGAAAAAAAGUGAGUUUGCGUUACAACUGAGCGAAAAAAUAGGAAUUUCUGGUAGAUAAGUAAAGAACUGAAAAUUAAAUUAUGGC
Molecule: long non-coding RNA, 316 nt
Filed under: Salvia miltiorrhiza (redroot sage)
Lineage: Eukaryota; Viridiplantae; Streptophyta; Magnoliopsida; Lamiales; Lamiaceae
Description: long non-coding RNA (SMIL_LNC009551)
Source: RNAcentral